Molecule: long non-coding RNA, 207 nt
Filed under: Elaeis guineensis (African oil palm)
Lineage: Eukaryota; Viridiplantae; Streptophyta; Magnoliopsida; Arecales; Arecaceae
Description: long non-coding RNA (EGUI_LNC023680)
Source: RNAcentral
UGAGAGGGUUUAAUCAAAUGAUUGAGCCGGUUUGACCUAUUUAUCAAGCGAGCAAGUUCCCUCUUGAUUCAGUUCGACACGGCCAAUCAUAAUGUCUAGGAUCCAUAAGUAAUUGCCAUUUUAUUGUAUUAGUAGGUCUUAAUUUUAACUGGCAAUGUCGUAGAGAGCUCUCUUUUGAGAAAGAGAAGCAGAGAAGGGGAAAAAGGG